CAGCCGCCGCGGGAAAACGUAGGGCGCAAGCGUUAUCCGGAAUUAUUGGGCGUAAAGAGCUCGUAGGCGGUUUGUCGCGUCUGCCGUGAAAGUCCGGGGCUCAACCCCGGAUCUGCGGUGGGUACGGGCAGACUAGAGUGAUGUAGGGGAGACUGGAAUUCCUGGUGUAGCGGUGAAAUGCGCAGAUAUCAGGAGGAACACCGAUGGCGAAGGCAGGUCUCUGGGCAUUAACUGACGCUGAGGAGCGAAAGCAUGGGGAGCGAACAGGAUUAGAUACCCCAGUAGUCCCUGUCUCUUAUAA
This 301-nucleotide ribosomal RNA is filed under the name uncultured bacterium. RNAcentral describes it as "partial 16S ribosomal RNA". It matches the Rfam family "Bacterial small subunit ribosomal RNA", at positions 509 to 809 of the family's 1533-position model. The record is from RNAcentral.